RNAcentral lists this ribosomal RNA (425 nucleotides) under uncultured bacterium. RNAcentral describes it as "partial 16S ribosomal RNA". It matches the Rfam family "Bacterial small subunit ribosomal RNA", at positions 354 to 796 of the family's 1533-position model. The record is from RNAcentral.
GUGGGGAAUAUUGGACAAUGGGCGCAAGCCUGAUCCAGCAAUGCCGCGUGGGUGAAGAAGGUCUUCGGAUCGUAAAGCCCUUUCGACAGGGACGAUGAUGACGGUACCUGUAGAAGAAGCCCCGGCUAACUUCGUGCCAGCAGCCGCGGUAAUACGAAGGGGGCUAGCGUUACUCGGAAUUACUGGGCGUAAAGGGCGCGUAGGCGGCUCUGUUAGUCAGGCGUGACAUUCCUGGGCUUAACCUGGGGACUGCGCUUGAUACUGCAGGGCUUGAGGCCGAGAGAGGGUGGUGGAAUUCCCAGUGUAGAGGUGAAAUUCGUAGAUAUUGGGAAGAACACCGGUGGCGAAGGCGACCACCUGGCUCGGUUCUGACGCUGAGGCGCGACAGCGUGGGGAGCAAACAGGAUUAGAAACCCGAGUAGUCC